GAAAUUAAAAUGGACAUCCGGCUACAGUGACAGUGAAAAGUGCAGAGAAUAUAGGCCUGAAUUUGGACAACACAUGAAAACAAACAGCAUCCAUCAAAAUCAAGUGCCUGAAGGCGACGGUUUGAUUUGAACAUCACGAUUGCUCGGUGCACGCUCUAUAAUAUUCAAAGGUACAAGCUCUUUAAAUUUCUUCGGGCCUUAUUGCAUCAGAACGAGACAAGGGCAAGGGCGACACCGACUGAAAGGUCGCCCGGGUCGCGGUGUUAUUGCACUCUGCCAUGGUCUAGAGGCGAUUACGGAAAGGGACUGGAGCUUCUUUGGCUCUUCUGAAGACGAUGCAGCGGUUAGUUCACACCGUAGAUCCACUUCUCCUCGUUGCUGGUGUAAGAGACCAGCUCCUUGGGCUGGAACCAGAGUGCGAUCUCGUCCUUGGCUGUCUCCGGGCCAUCGCUCCCGUGG
This 459-nucleotide long non-coding RNA is filed under the name Triticum aestivum (bread wheat). RNAcentral's name for it is "long non-coding RNA (TAES_LNC028063)". Lineage: Eukaryota; Viridiplantae; Streptophyta; Magnoliopsida; Poales; Poaceae. The record is from RNAcentral.